This 749-nucleotide ribosomal RNA is filed under the name Microbacterium sp. Its description in RNAcentral is "bacterial SSU rRNA". It matches the Rfam family "Bacterial small subunit ribosomal RNA", at positions 71 to 833 of the family's 1533-position model. Lineage: Bacteria; Bacillati; Actinomycetota; Actinomycetes; Micrococcales; Microbacteriaceae. The record is from RNAcentral.
AAGCGGAGCUUGCUCUGCUGGAUCAGUGGCGAACGGGUGAGUAACACGUGAGCAAUCUGCCCCUGACUCUGGGAUAAGCGCUGGAAACGGCGUCUAAUACCGGAUACGAGCUGCGAAGGCAUCUUCAGCAGCUGGAAAGAAUUUCGGUCAGGGAUGAGCUCGCGGCCUAUCAGCUUGUUGGUGAGGUAAUGGCUCACCAAGGCGUCGACGGGUAGCCGGCCUGAGAGGGUGACCGGCCACACUGGGACUGAGACACGGCCCAGACUCCUACGGGAGGCAGCAGUGGGGAAUAUUGCACAAUGGGCGCAAGCCUGAUGCAGCAACGCCGCGUGAGGGACGACGGCCUUCGGGUUGUAAACCUCUUUUAGCAGGGAAGAAGCGAAAGUGACGGUACCUGCAGAAAAAGCACCGGCUAACUACGUGCCAGCAGCCGCGGUAAUACGUAGGGUGCAAGCGUUAUCCGGAAUUAUUGGGCGUAAAGAGCUCGUAGGCGGUUUGUCGCGUCUGCUGUGAAAUCUGGGGGCUCAACCCCCAGCCUGCAGUGGGUACGGGCAGACUAGAGUGCGGUAGGGGAGAUUGGAAUUCCUGGUGUAGCGGUGGAAUGCGCAGAUAUCAGGAGGAACACCGAUGGCGAAGGCAGAUCUCUGGGCCGUAACUGACGCUGAGGAGCGAAAGGGUGGGGAGCAAACAGGCUUAGAUACCCUGGUAGUCCACCCCGUAAACGUUGGGAACUAGUUGUGGGGUCCAUU